RNAcentral lists this ribosomal RNA (468 nucleotides) under uncultured bacterium. RNAcentral's name for it is "partial 16S ribosomal RNA". It matches the Rfam family "Bacterial small subunit ribosomal RNA", at positions 28 to 507 of the family's 1533-position model. The record is from RNAcentral.
GACGAACGCUGGCGGCGUGCUUAACACAUGCAAGUCGAACGGAAAGGCCCUGCUUUUGUGGGGUUCUCGAGUGGCGAACGGGUGAGUAACACGUGAGUAACCUGCCCUUGUCUUUGUGAUAACUUCAGGAAACUGGGGCUAAUACCGGAGAGGAUCUCCUGCUGCAUGGUGUUGGUUGGAAAGUUUCGGCGGUUGUGGAUGGACUCGCGGCUUAUCAGCUUGUUGGUGUGGUAGUUGCUGACCAAGGGUUUGACGGGUAGCCGGCAUGAGAGGGUGAACGGCCACAUUGGGACUGAGAGAGGGACCAGAAUCCUAUGGGAGGCAGUAGUGGGGAACAUUGCACAAUGGGGGGAAGCCUGAUGCAGAAAUGCCGCGAGCGGGAUGCCGGGUUACGGGUUGUAAACAGCUUUGGAAUGUGACGAAGAGUGAGUGACGGUAACGGGUAAAGAAGCACCGGCUAACUACGUG